CUCCCAGACUCCUACGGGAGGCAGCAGUGAGGAAUAUUGGUCAAUGGGCGCGAGCCUGAACAAGCCAAGUCGCGUGAGGGAAGACGGUCCUAUGGAUUGUAAACCUCUUUUGUCGGGGAGCAAAAGACGCCACGCGUGGCGUUCCGAGAGUACCCGAAGAAAAAGCAUCGGCUAACUCCGUGCCAGCAGCCGCGGUAAUACGUAGGUGGCAAGCGUUAUCCGGAUUUACUGGGUGUAAAGGGCGAGUAGGCGGGAUUGCAAGUCAGAUGUGAAAACUAUGGGCUCAACCGAUAGAGUGCAUUUGAAACUGCAGUUCUUGAGUGAUGGAGAGGCAGGCGGAAUUCCCGGUGUAGCGGUGGAAUGCGUAGAUAUCGGAGGAACACCAGUGGCGAAGGCGGCCUGCUGGACAUUAACUGACGCUGAGGCGCGAAAGCGUGGGGAGCAAACAGGAUUAGAUACCCUUGUAUG
This 468-nucleotide ribosomal RNA is filed under the name uncultured bacterium. RNAcentral's name for it is "bacterial SSU rRNA". It matches the Rfam family "Bacterial small subunit ribosomal RNA", at positions 328 to 793 of the family's 1533-position model. The record is from RNAcentral.